Molecule: ribosomal RNA, 475 nt
Filed under: Aphaenops delioti
Lineage: Eukaryota; Metazoa; Arthropoda; Insecta; Coleoptera; Carabidae
Description: Geotrechus delioti partial 16S ribosomal RNA
Rfam family: Bacterial large subunit ribosomal RNA (bases 346-475)
Source: RNAcentral
UUAAAUGGCUGCAGUAAUUUGACUGUACAAAGGUAGCAUAAUCAUUAGUUUUUUAAUUUAAAGCUUGAAUGAAAGGUUGGACGAAGUAAAAUCUGUCUCUUUAUAAUAAAAUUAGAAUUUAAUUUUUAGGUUAAAAAGCUUAAAUUUUUAUGAAAGACGAGAAGACCCUAUAGAGUUUAAUAAUUUUAAUAAAAUAAUUAAUUUUGUUUUAUUAUUUUUAUUUUUUUANAAAUUAUUUUAUUGGGGUAAUAAUAAGAUUUAAAAAAUUCUUUUUUUUUUUAUCAUUAAUUUAUGAAAUAUUUAUGAUCCAUUANUUUUAUGAUUAUAAGAUUAAAUUACCUUAGGGAUAACAGCGUAAUUUUUUUGGAAAGUUCUUAUUAAUAAAAAAGUUUGCGACCUCGAUGUUGGAUUAAAGAUUAAUUUAGGUGUAGAAGUUUAAAUUUUUGGUCUGUUCGACCAUUAAAUCUUUACAUGA